UUGAAAGUCAGCAAAAGCAAGACUAAGCCUAAGUAGCAUAAAUUAAUGUCUUUUGGAACUUUGCUGUCAUCUGAACAACAAGCAGUUCAAGAAUGUGUUAUGAAUCCUCUGAAAGAAGCAUGCUGUGCAUGUGCAGUCAUGAAUUUAAACAACCGCUGUAGAUGGACCAAUGUGAGGAGGUGGAGCCAAUGUUAG
RNAcentral lists this long non-coding RNA (195 nucleotides) under Coturnix japonica (Japanese quail). Its description in RNAcentral is "lncRNA (ENSCJPG00005019578.1)". Lineage: Eukaryota; Metazoa; Chordata; Aves; Galliformes; Phasianidae. The record is from RNAcentral.